RNAcentral lists this long non-coding RNA (958 nucleotides) under Homo sapiens (human). RNAcentral's name for it is "non-protein coding lnc-NGLY1-5:1". Lineage: Eukaryota; Metazoa; Chordata; Mammalia; Primates; Hominidae. The record is from RNAcentral.
GGGAGCGUCCAUAGCACAGGCCAGGCAUCCAGCACAAGGGAGCUUCCUCACACCGUCAGCAUCAAGUAGGUUAAGUCCUCAUAUAUUUCUGUGCCAGAGACGCCUGUGGCUGGGUUGAGCAAGGAGCCAAACCCCUGGCUGGCCCCGCGAAUCUGCACAGCCUUCCUCACAGCGCAGGUCUGCACCUUGGAGGGCGUCUUCCAGCAGCACCAGUACCUGGGCCACCUGGAGCGAAAGAAGCUGGCCAAGAAGAUGCAACUCUCAGAGGUGCAGAUCAAAACCUGGUUUCGGCUGGGCGCAGUGGCUCACGCCUGUAAUCUCAGCGCUUUGGGAGACCCAGGCGGGUGGAUCACCUGAGGUCAGGAGUUUUGAGACCAGCCCAACCAACAUGGUGAAACCCGGUCUCUACUAAAAAAUACAAAGCUUAGCCGGGCGUCAUGGCGCAUGCUUGUAAUCCCAGCUACUCGGGAGUCUGAGGCAGGAGAAUCACUUGAACCCAGGAGGCAGAGGUUGCCAUGAGCCGGGAUCGCGCCAUUGCACUCUAGCCUGGGCAACAGAGCAAGACUCUAUCUCAAAACAAAAACAAAAACAAAACCUGGUUUCAGAAUCGCCAAAUGAAACACAAACGACAAAUGCAGGACUCCGAGUUGUACAUGCUUUCUGGGGCCUCGCCAUGUGCCUCGUGCUUUCCGCUGGCAAUCUUCUGUCCUGGCCAAUGGCCUGCAGCUGCUCUAGGCCACCCUUCCUGAGCCCCAGGCUCUGAUGAUGCCCCCUUGGCUCCUCCUGGGGUCUCUGCCAAGUGGAACAAGACGCCCUGGCCUCUUCAUGGGCUUUGUGUGGCAGCCAGCCUCUGACCUACCACCUCCUGGACCCUGGAAGCUGCGUGCACAUGCUGGGACCAGCCUUGUCCAUGGGUUCCUGGAGCCCAUGUGCUCCACCAGGGACCGAUGAUGACUUU